UAGAGACCGGCGCACGGGUGCGUAACGCGUAUGCAAUCUACCUUUCACAGAGGGAUAGCCCAGAGAAAUUUGGAUUAAUACCUCAUAGUAUAGCAGUUUCGCAUGAAACCACUAUUAAAGUCACAACGGUGAAAGAUGAGCAUGCGUCCCAUUAGCUAGUUGGUAAGGUAACGGCUUACCAAGGCAACGAUGGGUAGGGGUCCUGAGAGGGAGAUCCCCCACACUGGUACUGAGACACGGACCAGACUCCUACGGGAGGCAGCAGUGAGGAAUAUUGGACAAUGGGCGCAAGCCUGAUCCAGCCAUGCCGCGUGCAGGAUGACGGUCCUAUGGAUUGUAAACUGCUUUUAUACGAGAAGAAACCCUCCGACGUGUCGGAGCUUGACGGUAUCGUAAGAAUAAGGAUCGGCUAACUCCGUGCCAGCAGCCGCGGUAAUACGGAGGAUCCAAGCGUUAUCCGGAAUCAUUGGGUUUAAAGGGUCCGUAGGCGGUCAGGUAAGUCAGUGGUGAAAGCCCAUCGCUCAACGGUGGAACGGCCAUUGAUACUGUCUGACUUGAAUUAUUAGGAAGUAACUAGAAUAUGUAGUGUAGCGGUGAAAUGCUUAGAGAUUACAUGGAAUACCAAUUGCGAAGGCAGGUUACUACUAAUGGAUUGACGCUGAUGGACG
RNAcentral lists this ribosomal RNA (668 nucleotides) under Flavobacterium sp. B320_3. RNAcentral's name for it is "bacterial SSU rRNA". It matches the Rfam family "Bacterial small subunit ribosomal RNA", at positions 89 to 755 of the family's 1533-position model. The record is from RNAcentral. Lineage: Bacteria; Pseudomonadati; Bacteroidota; Flavobacteriia; Flavobacteriales; Flavobacteriaceae.